RNAcentral lists this ribosomal RNA (253 nucleotides) under uncultured bacterium. Its description in RNAcentral is "partial 16S ribosomal RNA". It matches the Rfam family "Bacterial small subunit ribosomal RNA", at positions 524 to 776 of the family's 1533-position model. The record is from RNAcentral.
UACGUAGGUGGCAAGCGUUGUCCGGAUUUACUGGGCAUAAAGGCUGCGUAGGCGGAUAUUUAAGUCAGAUGUGAAAUUCCCGGGCUCAACUUGGGAGCUGCAUUUGAAACUGGAUAUCUAGAGUGCGGGAGAGGUGAGUGGAACUCCGAGUGUAGAGGUGAAAUUCGUAGAUAUUCGGAAGAACACCAGUGGCGAAGGCGGCUCACUGGCCCGGUACUGACGCUGAGGUGCGAAAGCGUGGGGAGCAAACAGG